GUUCAUUUCUUCUUAUGAAACCAAACAAACGCUUGAAUUCGUGACGUUUUCCUCUGUCAUCCGGCCGUUGGAUUUUUCGCCGCACAUCCAAAUCCCUCCCCGGCUCCGCCGCCGUCACGCUCGCGCUCUCACCCGGCGGCGCCAUGCUCCUCGCCAAUCUCCUCCAGCCGCCGCGCUGCCCGCUCGCCUCCCCCAUCCGCUGCCAGGCCCCGGCCCAGCACCACCAGCCCGCCGCCUCCUCCUCCCGCGGCCUCCUCCUCCGCGGCGCGGGCUCCCCCGUCGUCAAGCGCCUGCCCGCCGGCGACUGGCUCCUCUGGUACCACUCCGGGGCGCGCGUCGCGCUCGCCACCUCCCCCGACGGCCUGCGCUGGAGCGCGCCCGUGGCGCCCGACCCGCUGCUGCCCUCCACCGACUGGUGGGUCUUCGACACCGCCGCCGUCCGCCCCGGCGACGUCCUCGUCAUCUCCGGCCCCGACGCGCCGUCGUCGCCGUCCCGCCGCCCCCCGCCCUCCUCCUCCGCCGUGUACUGGCUCUACUACACCGGCUCCAACGACGCGCGCCUCGCGGCGUCCCCGUUCCCCGCCGCGGACGUCGCCGCGCUGCCCGGCCUCGCCAUCAGCCAGGACGGCCGCCACUGGGCGCGCAUCGAGGGGGCCCACCACACCGGCGCGCUCCUCGGGGUCGGGGAGGACCACCCGCAGGGCUGGGAGAAGCGCUGCGCCGCGGCCCCCAAGGUGGUGAUGCACGCCGACGGGGACCUCCGGAUGUACUACCACUCGUUCGACGAAAUGUCGCAGAGGCACGCGGUCGGGGUGGCCAGGUCCAGGGACGGCAUCCGGUGGGAGAGGGUGGGGAAGGCGCUCGAGGGAGGUGGGCCCGGGUCGUUCGACGAAGGCGGGGUGCGGCAGGGGCAUGUCGUCCGUGACCGCGCCGCCGGUCGGUACAUGAUGGCGUACGAGGGUUUGGAUGGCAAUGGCGGGGUGAGCAUUGGGUUGGCUGUGUCGGAGGACGGGCUGAGAGGGUGGAGGCGGUGCAGUGAAUCACCAGCGCUGUGCUCGUCAGAGGAUGAUGACGAGUGGGACGUCGCUGGGGUCGGCGCCCCGUGCCUGGUGCAAAUGGAUGGGCCAUAUGAUUGGAGACUCUAUUACAUGGGCGUAGGGAAGGAUGGUGAGGCUGCUAUUGGGAUGGCAUAUUCAGAGGGUCAGGGUCUUCCGAGGUUCAACAGGUGUGAUGCUCUUCUCAUGUAAGGGGUUAAAGUACGCACAAAUUUCCACGAGUUCUUGUCUGUUGUUGCUACUACCAUCUAAUACUGGUUGUUGGUUCAGUAUGACGCACACAAGUUGGUAUUGGUCCAUCGGCUUCUCUAGUCUAGAUUACAAUAGUCAUAACAGCUGCCCUAUUUACUAACAUGGGAGGACACCAGCGUCGGUUCUCACUAAUCAAUUCUUCCUCUAGUUAAAUCUCUAGCUAUAUGCCACUGAAACAUUGUGAACUUAUUCAUUGUUCCAUUGACAAGUUUGGUUCAGGCCAACAUGUUAGUCAGACAGUGAGUGACACAGAAGGGACGUGGUAAACAACAGCUUCCCAGCAGAUUGUCCAAGCUUUCCUUUGCAGGAAGCAACCAAGGUGAUAAACAAGAUGGUACAAUCUUCCACUGGCACGAGAGGUUGAUCUGGUCUGAAAAGCCAUGUGCAGAUGGAAGAACCUGUACCACAAUCUUGAAUAAUGCAAUGUUACAUAGUUAUUUCGAUGGGGUCAUGGAUGUCCUUAGUUCCUUCGCAGUGAGGUAAGUGUUUCAUCCCUGACCUGUCUCCAGUUAGUUUGUUCACAUGGUCUUUAUUCUAACACAGUGCAACUGUGCUGUUAUAAACACAAAUUAUGUCUUUAAGAUGUCAUAAUGCUUAUUUUUCUUAGGAUGAAUAUAAUGCUUCUUGUCAUGAAAUAGUUCUGGUAUCUUUCUUUCCCCUCUCUUUGCUGUAGUUCAGUUGAAGUACCCCCAUAUCUUACUCAUACACUGGGCAUGUAUUUUUAGGUUGAGACUGCAUGUUAUCCUGUCUACUUCUCUAGAUGGAUAGUGCAGCUCUUAUAUCCAUGUGUUAUAUGUGUGCAGUAUUACGUUUAUUGAUCAUUU
This is an RNA transcript of Aegilops tauschii subsp. strangulata, 2131 nucleotides long. RefSeq lists it as uncharacterized. Lineage: Eukaryota; Viridiplantae; Streptophyta; Magnoliopsida; Poales; Poaceae. The record is from RefSeq and is a predicted model, not a curated record.